Long non-coding RNA from Macaca mulatta (Rhesus monkey), 585 nucleotides. RefSeq lists it as uncharacterized. The record is from RefSeq and is a predicted model, not a curated record. Lineage: Eukaryota; Metazoa; Chordata; Mammalia; Primates; Cercopithecidae.
UGGUCCAGAUAAAGACCGCUGGGGUUUUGAUAUUUAGGAAUCACGUCCACGGAAGAGCUGGAGUUGAGACUUGAUUGCUUCAUGGACAAAUUACCUGCAGAAGCUGGACUGGAAGUGUUGUAAUAUCAGAAAAUGCUGCUUCCGGUGGUAUUUGUAACCAGGAACAGAAGCUGAAGUGUCUGAAACCACCGGAGAAAGCCCCUGCUCUCCUGAGAGCUGUUCUCUAAUUUUGCUGGCAGAGAGCGUUGGAUCAGUGAUCAGAAAGUUAAAAUGGCAGAUGUUGGGGCUUCUAGGGGGAGGGGAGGCAGAUACCUGAUACUCUCCGGCAUUUGUUUUUUUAUCCUUCCCAUUACCUUCCUUUCUCAGAUCACAAUAUUAAAACAGAGCUGUUGUCCACUUUUCUAAGGCCACACAGCCAAAUGCUGGCACAACAGCAAACAAACAAACAAAAACAACCAGCCCCAGGACCUGCCUCUCGGACUGUAUCGUGACUCUCCUGACAUUUCUCCAACACAGCCGCGGACCUCAAUACUUUUUACAAAUAUCACCAAAAGCUAAUCAAUAACAGGCAGAUACCACACGUCA